UCCGCCAUGAAGCGGAAUCUGAAGGAAGCUUAAGGCAAAGUUCCGCCCCGAGGAACACGAAUCAUAUCAGGCAUACCCGUCGGGACGAGACUGCAAAACAAGUCAAAGUCCAAAGAUUACACGGACGUCGGGGUGUAAAUAUGGCGGAGACAUGGAAUGAAAGUUAACUGC
Molecule: non-coding RNA, 171 nt
Organism: Petrimonas mucosa
Lineage: Bacteria; Pseudomonadati; Bacteroidota; Bacteroidia; Bacteroidales; Dysgonomonadaceae
Source: Rfam